UUUUGUUUGAAUUUCAAUUUGGCUGUUAUUAUUUUUUUUAAAAAAAUAUUGAGUAAUUUUACUUUGUCUCAGGAAUUAACUCUAUCGAUAGCAUCAAGUGCUUGGUGCUAUCAAGUUUUCCACCGUUAGAUUUAACCCUUUAACUAUUUUUACCCGUUAAAUUAUAUUAUUAAACUAAUAACUCACUUAACUCUAGAGGGCCCACAUCAUCAUAACCGUACAUUUUUUCAUCUAAGGGCUGAAAACCUAAUAGCACCAAUAGGUUGGUGCUAUUGAUAGUAUUCCAGCCUAGAGGUAUAUAUAUAUAUAUAUAUAUAUAGAGAGAGAGAGAGAGAGAGAGUUGAGCUAGAAUACUCUCAAGAGCACCAAGGGAGUGGUGCUUUUGAGUUUUUAGCUAUUGGAUGGAGAGAUGUAGGGUUGAGAUGAUGGGGUAGGUGGUGGUAAGUGGUGGUAGGUGGAAUAGUGUUUGGUCCAAAGGUUAUUAGUAAUCAGGGAGUAGAUCCAAGGGCGAGAAACUCAAAAGCACCAAGGGGUUGGUGCUUUUGAGAGUAUUCUAGCUCAAUUUUAUAUAUAUAUAUAUACUUCAAUACACUAUAUAAAUCUUGAUCAUUUAUUUUUCUUAAUAGAUGGUUUAAAUUUAAUAUGACUCUAGA
This 653-nucleotide long non-coding RNA is filed under the name Ananas comosus (pineapple). Its description in RNAcentral is "long non-coding RNA (ACOM_LNC008755)". The record is from RNAcentral. Lineage: Eukaryota; Viridiplantae; Streptophyta; Magnoliopsida; Poales; Bromeliaceae.